UGUUCGAGCGUCAUCUACACCUUCGAGCCCUGCUCGGUGUUGGGUGUCUGUCUGUCCUGCAGACUCACCUCAAAUCCAUUGGCGGUGGCCCGCCUAGCUUCCUGUGCAGCGCAUGCAACUUGCGAGCUGUCGCGGGCCCACAUCCACCAAGACCAUCGCGAUUUGACCUCGAAUCAGGUAGGGAUACCCGCUGAACUUAA
This 200-nucleotide unclassified non-coding RNA is filed under the name soil metagenome. RNAcentral's name for it is "partial contains internal transcribed spacer 2 and large subunit ribosomal RNA". The record is from RNAcentral.